This 253-nucleotide ribosomal RNA is filed under the name uncultured bacterium. RNAcentral describes it as "partial 16S ribosomal RNA". It matches the Rfam family "Bacterial small subunit ribosomal RNA", at positions 524 to 776 of the family's 1533-position model. The record is from RNAcentral.
UACGGGGGGGGCAAGCGUUGUUCGGAAUUACUGGGCGUAAAGGGCUCGUAGGCGGCCAGCUAAGUCGGAUGUGAAAUCCCCAGGCUCAACUUGGGAACUGCAUCCGAUACUGGAUGGCUUGAAUUCGGGAGAGGGAUGCAGAAUUCCAGGUGUAGCGGUGAAAUGCGUAGAUAUCUGGAGGAAUACCGGUGGCGAAGGCGGCAUCCUGGACCGACAUUGACGCUGAGGAGCGAAAGCUAGGGGAGCAAACGGG